RNAcentral lists this ribosomal RNA (438 nucleotides) under uncultured bacterium. RNAcentral's name for it is "partial 16S ribosomal RNA". It matches the Rfam family "Bacterial small subunit ribosomal RNA", at positions 356 to 786 of the family's 1533-position model. The record is from RNAcentral.
AGGGAAUCUUCCACAAUGGACGCAAGUCUGAUGGAGCAACGCCGCGUGAGUGAAGAAGGUCUUCGGAUCGUAAAGCCCUGUUGUUGGUGAAGAAGGAUAGAGGCAGUAACUGGUCUUUAUUUGACGGUAAUCAACCAGAAAGUCACGGCUAACUACGUGCCAGCAGCCGCGGUAAUACGUAGGUGGCAAGCGUUGUCCGGAUUUAUUGGGCGUAAAGCGAGCGCAGGCGGAAUGAUAAGUCUGAUGUGAAAGCCCACGGCUCAACCGUGGAACUGCAUCGGAAACUGUCAUUCUUGAGUGCAGAAGAGGAGAGUGGGACUCCAUGUGUAGCGGUGGAAUGCGUAGAUAUAUGGAAGAACACCAGUGGCGAAGGCGGCUCUCUGGUCUGCAACUGACGCUGAGGCUCGAAAGCAUGGGUAGCGAACAGGAUUAGAUACC